AAUCAGGCGGAGUUGGCUCCGGGACUCGCGGGGGCCCCCGGCCCUACUCGGGCGCCCGCGGAAGGUAUCUAACUCUUGACAAUUGUAUGGCCUCUCUGAGUCUUUGUACUUAAUAAGUCAAAACUUUCAACAACGGAUCUCUUGGUUCUGGCAUCGAUGAAGAACGCAGCGAAAUGCGAUAAGUAAUGUGAAUUGCAGAAUUCAGUGAAUCAUCGAAUCUUUGAACGCACAUUGCGCCCGCCAGUAUUCUGGCGGGCAUGCCUGUUCGAGCGUCAUUUCAACCAUCAAGCCCCCGGCUUGUGUUGGGGACCUGCGGCUGCCGCAGGCCCUGAAAACCAGUGGCGGGCUCGCUAGUCACUCCGAGCGUAGUAAUACAUCUCGCUCAGGGCGUGCUGCGGGUUCCGGCCGUUAAAAAGCCUUAUUUACCCAAGGUUGACCUCGGAUCAGGUAGGAAGACCCGCUGAACUUAAGCAUAUCAUA
This 480-nucleotide ribosomal RNA is filed under the name Chaetomium sp. Its description in RNAcentral is "eukaryotic LSU rRNA". The stretch from base 122 to 275 matches the Rfam family "5.8S ribosomal RNA". Lineage: Eukaryota; Fungi; Ascomycota; Sordariomycetes; Sordariales; Chaetomiaceae. The record is from RNAcentral.